CAUGCAAGUCGAACGGACUUACAUUGAAGCCUAGCGAUAUGUAAGUUAGUGGCGGACGGGUGAGUAACGCGUGGGUAACCCGCCUUGUACUGGGGGACAACAGUUGGAAACGACUGCUAAUACCGCAUAAGCGCACAGCUUCGCAUGAAGCAGUGUGAAAAACUCCGGUGGUACAAGAUGGACCCGCGUCUGAUUAGCUGGUUGGUGAGGUAACGGCCCACCAAGGCGACGAUCAGUAGCCGGCCUGAGAGGGUGAACGGCCACAUUGGGACUGAGACACGGCCCAAACUCCUACGGGAGGCAGCAGUGGGGAAUAUUGCACAAUGGGGGAAACCCUGAUGCAGCAACGCCGCGUGAGUGAAGAAGUAUUUCGGUAUGUAAAGCUCUAUCAGCAGGAAAGAAAAUGACGGUACCUGACUAAGAAGCCCCGGCUAACUACGUGCCAGCAGCCGCGGUAAUACGUAGGGGGCAAGCGUUAUCCGGAUUUACUGGGUGUAAAGGGAGCGUAGACGGUUUUGCAAGUCUGAAGUGAAAGCCCGGGGCUUAACCCCGGGACUGCUUUGGAAACUGUAGAACUAGAGUGCAGGAGAGGUAAGUGGAAUUCCUAGUGUAGCGGUGAAAUGCGUAGAUAUUAGGAGGAACACCAGUGGCGAAGGCGGCUUACUGGACUGUAACUGACGUUGAGGCUCGAAAGCGUGGGGAGCAAACAGGAUUAGAUACCCUGGUAGUCCACGCUGUAAACGAUGAUUACUA
Molecule: ribosomal RNA, 753 nt
Filed under: uncultured bacterium
Lineage: Bacteria
Description: bacterial SSU rRNA
Rfam family: Bacterial small subunit ribosomal RNA
Source: RNAcentral